RNAcentral lists this transfer RNA (57 nucleotides) under Neoscona nautica (brown sailor spider). Its description in RNAcentral is "tRNA-Asp". Lineage: Eukaryota; Metazoa; Arthropoda; Arachnida; Araneae; Araneidae. The record is from RNAcentral.
AAUAAAUUAGUUUAUAAAAAUAUUAGUUUGUCAAACUAAAGAUGAAAAAAUUCCUCA